Molecule: small nucleolar RNA, 129 nt
Filed under: Propithecus coquereli (Coquerel's sifaka)
Lineage: Eukaryota; Metazoa; Chordata; Mammalia; Primates; Indriidae
Description: Small nucleolar RNA SNORA31 (ENSPCOG00000006584.1)
Source: RNAcentral
CUUAUUUGACAAACUUGUACCAACAAAUGUCUGCUGCUAAGGUUUCCUCUACAAAUACAAGAGAAAAGUAUUCUCACCCCUUCCGUCUGUCUAAUUGUAGCAGUCAAGAUUGAAUGGAAGAAUACAGAA